Long non-coding RNA from Coregonus clupeaformis (lake whitefish), 546 nucleotides. RefSeq lists it as uncharacterized. The record is from RefSeq and is a predicted model, not a curated record. The transcript has 3 exons. NCBI's taxonomy places the organism in Eukaryota, Metazoa, Chordata, Actinopteri, Salmoniformes, Salmonidae.
UCUAAGUCUGUGUUUACUGUUUCUGUUUCUCUUUCCAAACAGCCUGUCUAUGAAUCUGGAGACACUUGAGGUGUUUGGAGAGGAUGGUGGACUUAGUGGAGGACAUCCCAGCCACUUGGCAGUGUUGGCACUGCUACUUCCUACCUGACGGCCGAAUGCAGGUGGGCUCGCCGUCAACAUGAGGCUCUUGCUGGUCCCGCUCCAAAAACAUACAGGGGUGAGAAGAUCUAAAUCAGAACUGAGAAAGGUUGUUACGGAGCCCCAUGAGGAACACCUGAUGCUACGCUGACUUCUCUCUCCUGGAUGCUCUCCUGCCCAAACUGUCCUGUUGUGUGUUUCACCGGUCUCUGAACCCCCUUACCUCGAAUAGAGUUGCCCCUGAGCAUAGAUCUAGGAUUGUACCCAAUCCCAGUUUUAACUCCCUCUCCCUCUCUCUCUUUGUCCCCACACACACAGGCAUAGUUUUUAAAUGAGUGUUGUAAGGAUGCUCUUAUUUGGUUACAUACAGUAUGUGUUAACUGUUGUUACUUCUAUUGUCAAUUAUGU